This is a long non-coding RNA of Nerophis lumbriciformis (worm pipefish), 606 nucleotides long. RefSeq lists it as uncharacterized. NCBI's taxonomy places the organism in Eukaryota, Metazoa, Chordata, Actinopteri, Syngnathiformes, Syngnathidae. The record is from RefSeq and is a predicted model, not a curated record.
GAUGUCACGAAUUUUAUGAGACAAAUAAGAAACAAGACAUGUUGUGUUAGCUCUUACAAGCCUUGGAAAAGAUAAGUCUCUUCACCUUUAAGACAGCGGCAGUCCAGCCACCCGGACAGCUGCUGCAACAAACGCUUUAAAUAACCAAAGAUGUUCUGCAUGAACUGUCAGAACUCGUCUCAGGUCACCUUGAUUUAAACAUGAGUUUGGGUUGAGUUUAAUGAAGUGCCUUCACCAAAUUAGACUGUACACCCUCAUACUGUAAGUACACAACUCCUUUAUUUUGUCACUGUGUCCACUGAAAAGUUUGCAUUUCCAAAAAUCCCGAAAAACUAUAAAAUGUUUUUUUUAUUGUGAAAACAUCAAAUGUUGUGACUUGUCCAGGGAAAACGCUGUAGUCCUGUUUUUUUUAAAAUGUUAUCUGAAAGUCACAGGAAGUUAUUUUGGGGGGUGAAAUGAUCGACACAUUUUUGGGAUGUGUCAGUAAAAAAACAGUAAAAAAAAGUUUUUUUAUUGGACUAAACCAAAAAUAAUUUUCUUGCCCUUUCUUGUUAAAAUAAAUAAAUAAAUAAAAUACCGUAUACUUGAGAUAAUUUUAUCACCCUC